GCAUCGGUCUCGGGGUGUUACAACUCUCCUCCACUAACAGAAGAUCUCAUCCCGAGAUCUUAGGAACGAGACGGAUGAAAAGAGGAUGAGGUGAAACAAGAGCUGAAGAGAGAGGAUGAACAAGGUCGAGAACACUCGAGUAGAAAAGAGGAACGACAACUAUGACGAGAAUCAAAAGCUCAAGGAAUAAGAUAGACUCUGAAACCACUCUGGUUAGAACAAGGUAGAAAAGGAAUAAGAACGAAAGAAUUCAGAUAGCGUUCGGGUAGAAAAGGAAAGCAGAGAUUGGCAAGAAAAAGGACUUCAAAAGAGGACUUGACACUCCGGUAAAAUAGAUAAACAAGGAUUAAACAAGAUGAUGGACGAAAAGAGCAACAUCACGGUGCCUCCGGAACGGAAGAAUAGAAGGUGAAUCAUUGGAAGGAAAAGAAAGGGGAAAAACAACAUACAACUUCCCUCAUAAUUGAAUUGAGAAGCAUCCUUGCAAGGAAUGAUUGAACGGAGUUGUUGGAAACGAAAGAAUAAGCUUGUUGUGGACUUAUUAAAAACAUCUCAAAAAUUUGAGGUGAAAUUUUGCCACAACCAAAAGCUUGAAUAGCUAAGAAGAACGAAGAAAUGCAAAACUCCACUUCAAAAGAAGACACAGAAUUAUUUGCACUCUGAGACACAAGAAGAAAAGAUACUUGCGCUCCUCCAACAAGAAUCUUGAUGAACAAUUGAAGAAUGAACUAACUCCUUGACGAGAAUGAGUUAAAUCCUUAAUGAAUGAUACGUCUCCAACGUAUCUACUUUUUCUCAUGCUUUUCCUCUUGUCUUGGACUCUAAUUUGCAUGAUUUGAAUGAAACUAACCCCGAACUGACGCUGUUUUCAGCAGAACUACCAUGGUGUUGUUUUUGUGCAGAAAUAAAAGUUCUCGGAAUGGAACGAAAUUUGCGAGGAUUUUUUAUAUCAAUAAUAAGAAUUUCUGGAGCCAAGACCCACCAGAGAGGGGCCCCUGGUUGGGAACAACCCACCAGGGCGCGCCCCCCUCUCCUGGCACGCCCAGGUGGUUUGUACCCACCUGGUGGCCCUGCUGACGACCCCCUGAUACUAUAAAAUCACAUUAUUCUAGAAAAAUCAGGGAGAAAGAAUUAUCACGAUCCACGAGACGGAGCCGCCGCCAAGCCCUGUUCUUCCUCGGGAGGGCAGAUCUGGAGUCAGUUUGGGGCUCCGGAGAGGGGGAUAUUCGUUCUUCGUCAUCACCAACCAAUCUCCAUGGCCAAUUCCAUGAUGCUCCCCACUGGUAGUGCGUAAUUCCUUCGUAGGCUUGCUGGUCGGUGAGGAGUUGGAUGAGAUUCAUCAUGUAAUUGAGUUAGUUUUGUUAGGGCUUGAUCCCUAGUAUCCACUGUGUUCUUAGAUUGAUGUUGCUAUGACUUUGCUAUGCUUAAUGCUUAUCACUUUGGGCCCGGGUGCCAUGAACUAAGAUCUGAACCAUUUAUGAAUUCAUCAUUAUAUCCAUGUUUUAGAUCCGAUCUUGCAAGUUAUAGUCACCUACUACGUGUUACGAUCCGAAAACCCCGGAGUGACAACAACCGGGCCCACUCUCAGUGAUGACCGUAGUUUGAGGAGUUCAUGUAUUCACUAUGUGUUAAUGCUUUGUUCCGGUUCUCUAUUAAAAGGAGGCCUUAAUAUCCCUUAGUUUCCAAUAUGGACCCCGCUGCCACGGGAGGGUAGGACAAAAGAUGUCAUGCAAGUUCUUUUAAUAAAGCACGUAUGACUAUUUACGGAAUACAUGCCUACAUUAUAUCGAUGAACUGGAGCUAGUGCCGUAUCGCCCUAGGUUAUAACUGUCACAUGAUGAAUAUCAUCCAACAAGUCACUGAUCCAAUGCCUACGAAUUUAUCCUUAUUGAUCUUGCUGCGUUACUACUGCUAUCAUCACUGUUACACUUGCUACAAAAAUACUGCGAUCACUGUUACUGUUACCGUUGCUACUGUCACUACUAUCAAAACUAUCAAACUACUUUGCUACUGAUCACUUUGCUGCAGAUAAUUAAUCUCCAGGUGUGGUUGAAUUGACAACUUAGCUGCUAAUACCUUCAUAUAUUCUUUGGCGCCCCUUGUGUCGAAUCUAUAAAUUUGGGUUGAAUACUCUACCCUCGAAAACUAUUGCGAUCCCCUAUACUUGUGGGUUAUCAAGACCUUUUUCUGGCGCCAUUGCCGGGGAGCAUAGCUAUAUUUCUUGAGUCACUUGGGAUUAUUAUCAUAUUAUCACUAUGAAGAAUCUGAAGGAUCCAAAGACUAAGAUAUUUCCCUCAAGGACGAGGGGAGGUAAGGAACUGCCAUUCAGUCCCGCUUUAGAUUCACCUUCUGUUAUGAGUAAACUUGCAACACCACCACAUGCUAUCAAUUCUAAUAUGUCGCAAGUUAUUGAUGAUGCUACUUCUGCUAUGGAUAAUUCUUAUGAUUAUGCUAGUACCUUGCUUGAUAAUGAUGAUGUGCCACUUGGUGAUUUUCUUGAUAAACAAAUUGCUAGAGUUAUACAACAUGAUGUUGUUGAAUCUGAUGAUGAGCUUGAAACUGAAACUCCUGAAACACUUGCUAGAACUAGCCUUGAUAGAUAUGAAUUGCCUAAGGUACCGGAAGGUUAUGUUAUGAGUGAAGAAGCAACUAGAGAUAUUCUUGCUUGCAAUGAUAGAGAUGAUCUAGAGAAAUUACUACAAAAGUAUAAAGAAAAAUCUCUGAAUGCUAGAAUGAAAUGUGAUCCUAAGUUUGCUAUUUCACAUAUCUUUAUUGCUGAUAAGGAUUAUGAAUUCUCUGUCGACCCAGAGUUAAUUAAUUUGGUUGAAUCUGAUCCUUUCCAUGGUUAUGAAACUGAAACUGUUGUGGCACAUCUUACUAAUUUGAAUGACAUAGCCACCCUUUUUACUCAUGAUGAGAAAACUCGCUACUACUUUAUUCUCAAAUUAUUUCCUUUCUCAUUAAAGGGUGAUGCUAAAGCUUGGUACAAUACUCUUACUCCUGGUUGUGUGCGUAGUCCCCAGGAUAUGAUUUAUUACUUCUCUAAAAAAUAUUUUCCUGCUCAUAAGAAACAAGCUGCCCUACAGGAAAUAUUUAACUUUGUGCAAACUAAAGAAGAGAGUCUCCCACAAGCUUGGGGGAGGCUUUGCCAGUUACUUAAUGCUUUGCCUGACCAUCCUCUUAAGAAAAAUGAAAUACUUGAUAUCUUCUAUAAUGGACUAACUGAUGCUUCUAGGGACUUCCUAGAUAGUUGUGCUAGUUGUGUUUUCAGGGAACAAACUAUUGCUCAAGCUGAAGAAUUAUUGAAUAACAUAUUGAAAAAUUAUGAUGAUUGGACCCUUCCUGAACCACCGCCUAAACCCACUCCGAAGAAGAGGGGUAUAUUAUAUCUCAGUCCUGAAGAUAUGCAAGAGGCAAAGAAAUCUAUGAAGCAAAAAGGUAUUAAAGCUGAGGAUGUUAAAAUUUUACCUCCUAUUGAAGAAAUACAUGGGCUUAAUACACCACCACUGCCUAAGGUGGUAGAGGUAAAUUCUCUUAUGAAGUUCAAUGAAAAUGAUAAUCCUCACAAUAUGCAUCCUAGUCAAUGCCUUUAUGAGUUUGAAAACUACAUUAGAAAACAAGAUCACUUCAAUGCAAAUGUUAUGAAACAAUUGAAAUAUAAUUCCUAUAUGAUUGCUCGCUUGAGUGACUUGUUAUUUAGAAUAUCAAAUGAUGUUAGAGGUGUUGGAAAACAUGCUUCUAUGGUUCAAACUCAAUUAGAACAAGUUGCUAAAUCACAAAGAGAAUUACUGAUGAAAUGAAUCAUAAUAUGCAUGACUUUUCCGUUAGAGUUGCAACUAGAGGAGGUAAAAUGACUCAGGAACCACUUUAUCCCGAGGGACACCCAAAGAGAAUUGAACAAGAUUCACAAAGAAAUAACACUAGUGCACCUAGUCCUUCUAAAAAGAAAAGGAAGAAGAAAAAUGAUAGGACUUUGCACACUUCUAGUGACCUGAAAUAGAGAAACCUCCUGAUGAUAAUAAUGAAACUUCUAUCUCAGAUGCUGAAACUCAACCUGGUAAUGAACACUCACUUAGUGAUAAUGAAAAAGAUAAUGAUGAGGUUCAAGAAGACACUCAACCAAACAAUGAAAAAGAACCAGAUAAUGAUGUUGAGAUAGAACCACCAGUUGAUCUUGAUAACCCACAACCUAAGAAUAAAAAGUAUGAUAAAAGAGACUUUAUGGCUAGGAAACACGGUAAAGAAAGAGAACCGUGGGUUCAAAAACCUAUGCCUUUUCCACCCAAGUAAACUAAAAAGAAAUAUGAUCAGGAAUUUGAACGCUUUGCUGAAAUGCUGAGGCCAGUCUUUUUGCGUACUCGCUUGACUGAUAUCUUGAAAAUGCCUCCCUAUGCAAAGUAUAUGAAAGACAUCAUCACCAAUAAGAGAAAAAUACCGGAAACUGAAAUCUCCACUAUGCUUGCUAAUUAUACUUUCAAAGAUGGAGUGCCUAAAAAACUUGGAGAUCCGGGAAUACCAACUAUACCUUGCUCUAUCAAAAAGAAUUAUGUGAAAACUGCUUUGUGUGAUUUAGGAGCUGGCGUUAGUGUUAUGCCUUUCUCUUUAUAUAAAAGACUUGACUUGAAUAAACUCACACCUACUGAAAUAUCUUUGCAAAUGGCUGAAAAAUCAACUGCCAUACCUAUCGGUAUUUGUGAGGAUGUGCCCAUUGUUGUUGCUAAUGUUACUAUUUUGACUGACUUUGUUAUACUUGAGAUGCCCGAGGACGACAACAUGUCGAUUAUCCUUGGUAGACCCUUCUUAAAUACUGCAGCGGUUGUUAUUGAUUGCAAUAAAAGCAAGGUCACUUUUCAUAUCAAUGGUAAUGAGCAUACGGUGCACUUUCUGAAGAAACAAUUCCAAGUGAAUGGUAUUAAUGUUAUUGAAAAGUCUCCGACAAUCACUAUUGGAAGUUUUCAAAUACCUUACCUACUGUCAAAAAGAAUAUGAAAUGCUUAUUGUUGGGGAGAUGCAAAUCCCCAUUGAGGUAACUUAGUGAUUUACGAAAGUUCUUCGGUUUCAUGCUAAUCGGAAGUGGUUGUUAAUAAGACCCGAUCAACCUUAUUAAUGAAUCAUUUUUGAGCGGUAUGAAGUUGAUGAAUUUAGUAAGCACUACUUUUUGUCCCUACUUUUUAUUCUCUGUUUUUAUUUGUUAAAUAAAAUAAAUGCCAUGUUUUGUCUGUUUUCUGAAUUUCCCGUGCAAUAAAAAAAUGACCCAAAAAUAAAAGUUCUCAGAAUGCCCUGAAAAAUUUAUACGAUUUUUUCCUGAAUAUUUCUGAAUUUUUCGUGCAAAUAAUACCAGAGGGAGGUGCACCAGGUGGGCACAACCCACCUGGGCGCGCCAGGACCCCUAGGUGGGUUGUGGUCCCCAUGUGGGCCCCCUCACUUACCUCUUCAUCCCACAUCAUCACUUACCUACAGAAAAAAAUCCCCAUUGCUCUCACUCCCGUGUUCUUGAGCUCAAACCCGCAGGUUUUGAUCUCUUUGCUCGAAGCUCCAUUUCCGAAACUGUUUCGGGGAUUGUUGCUUGGUAUGUGACUCCCACCAUUUGUCCAAUUAGUUUUUGUUUUAGUGGUUUAUACUUUGAAUAAAUAGCUACUCUUGGUGCUGCUGUAGAUGUGCUUGCAUGUUCAAUUCUUAGUGUUCUAACUUCUAAGUAGUUUGAAUGCUUGCUAUGGCCUCUAUGUAUCCCUAUGAGUAGUUGCUAUCAAUUUUGUGAAGUUUUGUUGAGAAAAUUUUGUGAACUAAAAAUUUAGAUUUUUGUUCAUAGGAAAAAUUGUACGCGGACAUGAAAAUAUUCAGGAAAUUUUGCUCUAAGAAGACUCCAAGGGUGUUAUUGGGGAGUCUUCUGACAGUGAUCUCCACCCUCGGAGGUUGGCGGAGGUGGUCGUGCGAACCGCACACCCCGUUCCUGCAAGAGGCGGGAAUUCAUGAGGAGUUCAUGCAAUUUAUUGCUAAUGCCAGCCUCACCGACUUCAUCGCAGAUGAGUGUGAACAACACCAAAUUCUCACGAACAUCUUUGUUCAAAGCUUUACAUUCUUGCCUGUAAAUAAUCCUCCUGAAGUGAGCUUUGAUUUAUAUGCUGAAAACCAUCAGAUACCACUUACUGAAUUUUGUGACAUAUGCAUGAUCCCAUCUGAUGGGAGCUUGGCUAAGCCUAGGCCGGCUGAGUUUGAGGAUUUCUAUCGCACUUUUACAGUGGGCGAUGAGAGAAGAGUGUCAGCCAUCACUGCCGGUGGCUUACAUUUUCCUAUUGUCCGUUACUUUGCACUCUUCAUUAACAAAUGCUUGCUUGCUAGGCAGAAGGUGGGUGCACUUAGUUCACCAUACUUUGUUGUUUUACGUCGUGCACUUACGGGCGACAACACGUAUAGCUUGGGAGCUAUCGUGGCUCGUCGCCUGCACCUUAAUAAAUCCCAGGGUAAAAUACAUGGUGGGAUUUUUGCUACUCGGUUGGCGGCUCACUUCGAGGUUGAGAUACGCCCUCAUGAUUACCCUAUGACCAAGGUUUACCUAGACCGAGCAGCCAUGGAUCACCAUCACUUUCUUGCACAUGAUCGUCCUGAUAUUGCCAUUCCUUAUAACCUGGUCUAUAGAAUUGAUACUCGUGAUGUUAUCCCCUUACCUGCACCUACUUUGUUUGAUUCUGUUGCUAGGGUGGAUACAGGAUUAUGCCUGCAGACAUCCUCGCCUACUGGAAUGCUCAUGCUCCUGCAGAGGCUGCUCAGGGACCUCAGCACUGGGAUGUGUGGAUACCCGCUCCUCAGGAUCCCUACUACCAGCCUCCAGGCUACUGAUUGAUUACCAACUUAGGCCAAAAGCCUAAGCUUGGGGGGAGUACGUGUUCUCACCGACAUUACAUUCAUGUUCACAUAUCAUUCUAUUUGUCGGUGCUCACACUUUUUCAUUGUAUCAUCCAUGCUUAGAUUUAUUUUCUUGCUUUCUUCUUGUGUGUUUGAAAAACUUUAGAAACCCCAAAAAAAUUAGUUGUAGUAAUUUACUUUCUAUGCAUGCUUAGUAGUAGUAUUAAAAAGAAAAUCCAAAAAGAUUUCCUUGUUCUUCUUUUCCUUGUUGGGGGCUUUCCCGUGUAAAUAGUUUUUCUCGUUUUUGCUUUUUAUUUGCUUGUUGUAGAAAAUCAAAAACUCCAAAAAUAUUUCAGUAUGUUUCUCUGAAUUUCUUUUCCUUUUAUUCGAGUUGUACCGAGGAGAAGACCACGAUGAAAAUGUUGAGUGGCUCUCAUAUGAAUAACUGUCGAACUAAUAAAGAUCCCAUUUUACCUUGUCUUCUCCUGUUGAAUAAAAUGUUUGCAGAUUCCAGCUUAGUCCACAACACUCUUGCACUAUUAUUAUUUUCAUAUCAUUUGGUCGUGCAAGUGAAAGGCAAUAAUGACGAUAUUCGAUGAACUGGCCAUGGCAAAGAGAGACUGGUAUGAACUCGACUUGUUCUGUUUGUGUAAAUAUGUUUAACCUAGUAUCCAGGCUUCAGCCCAUUAUGAUUAAACAUGUUUGCAAUGACAAUUAGAGAUUAUAGUUUCUCAUGUCAUGCAUAAGUAGCUGGGAGUUGAUAAUGAUUUAUCCUAGAUGUCAACAUAGCGUUAAAAUGAUUGUGAUGUAGUAUGAUGAUAUGGUAUCCUCCUUUGAAUGUUCGACUGGCUUGACUUGGCACAUGUUAAUGCAUGUAGUUGAAUCAAAACCAACAUAGCCUCUAUGAUAUUUAUGUUCAUGGUGUUCAUAUCCUACUCAUGCUAGUGUCCAAUGUUACUUAUGCAUAAUGCCUGGUCAUGAUCGUUGUUGCUCUCUAGCUGGCCGCAUCUCAAUCUUAAUUGCUAGCCUUCGCCUCUACUAAGUGGGAAUUCUGCUUCUACAUCAAAAACCUUGAACCCAAAGUUAUUCCAGAUGAGUCCACCAUACCUACCUAUAUACAGUAUUUCCCUGCCGUCCUAAGUAAAUUUGCAUGUGCCACAUCUAAAAACUUCUAGAAAAUUAUCCGUUUUGUGUGCCUGGAUCGUGCAUGGAAUGACAAGAGGUGGUCGAUAUCUUCCGUGCUAAGCGGGUUAUUCUUAGGUCGAGUGUUUAUGCACUCGCCAUCUCACGAGAAAAUGGGUGGUAAUAGGGAUGCCCAGUCCCAAACUGCAAACAUGAAAAAGAGUUCAUCUCUUGAAUAAUCAAACAAAAACUCCCAAAGGAGUCAAAACCUUUACUUUUACCGCUUGGGAACCGCCACUAGCGUGCUUAGCAUGGAAGAUGUUGAUAACUGAUGGUCGUGAAGUGAAUGAGAAGGGUACAUGUCUCAAAAUAUCAUUUAUCUCUGUUUUAAAAAUUGAGCUCUGGCACCUCUGCAAAUCUCGGCUUCCCUCUGCGAAGGGACUUUCUAUUUACUUUUAUGUUGUGUCACUGAUACAUCUCCAACGUAUCUAUAAUUUUUUAUUGUUCCAUGCUGUUAUAUAUUCUGUUUUGGAUGUUUAAUGGGCUUUACUAAGCACUUUUAUAUUAUUUUUGGGACUAACCUACUAACCCAAGGCCCAGUGCAAAUUGUUGUUUUUUUUGCCUAUUUUAGUGUUUCACAAAAAAGGAAUACCAAACGGCGUCCAAACAGAAUGAAACCUUUGGGGGAGUUAUUUUUGGAACAAACGUGAUCUAGAGGACUUGGAGUGGAUGUCAAGAAAUCAACGAGGAGGCCACGAGGCAGGGAGGCGCGCCUGCCCCCUGGGCGCGCCCCCACCCUCGUGGGCCCCUCGCAGCUCCACCGACCUACUUCUUCCUCCUAUAUAUACCUACGUACCCCGAAAAUAUUCAGGAGCACCACGAAACCCUCCACCGCCGCAACCUUCUGUACCCAUGAGAUCCCAUCUUGGGGCCUUUUCCGACGCUCCACCGGAGGGGGCAUCGAUCAUGGAGGGCUUCUACAUCAACACCAUAGCCUCUCCGAUGAUGUGUGAGUAGUUUACCUCAGACCUUCGGGUCCAUAGUUAUUAGCUAGAUGGCUUCUUCUCUCUCUUUGGAUCUCAAUACAAAGUUCUCCUCGAUCUUCUUGGAGAUCUAUUCGAUGUAACUCUUUUUGUGGUGUGUUUGUCGAGAUCCGAUGAAUUGUGGGUUUAUGAUCAAGAUUAUCUAUGAACAAUAUUUGAAUCUUCUCUGAAUUCUUUUAUGUAUGACCGGUUAUCUUUGCAAGUCUCUUCGAAUUAUCAGUUUGGUUUGGCCUACUAGAUUGAUUUUUCUUGCAAUGGGAGAAGUGCUUAGCUUUGGGUUCAAUCUUGCGUUGCUCGAUUCUAGUGACAGAAGGGGAAACGACGCGUAUUGUAUUGUUGCCAUCGAGGAUAAAAAGAUGGGGUUUAUAUCAUAUUGCUUGAGUUUAUCCCUCUACAUCAUGUCAUCUUGCCUAAUGCAUUACUCUGUUCUUAUGAACUUAAUACUCUAAAUGCAUGCUGGAUAGCGGUCGACGCGUGGAGUAAUAGUAGUAGAUGCAGGCAGGAGUCAGUCUACUUGUUGCGGACGUGAUGCCUAUAUACAUGAUCAUGCCUAGAUAUUCUCAUAACUAUGCACUAUUCUAUCAAUUGCUCGACAGUAAUUUGUUCACCCACCGUAAUACUUAUGCUAUCUUGAGAGAAGCCACUAGUGAAACCUAUAGCCCCCGGGUCUAUCUUCCAUAAUAUUAAUCUCCCGUGAACUAGCUAUUUAUGUCGCCGUUUAUUUUGCAAUCUUUACUUUUAAUCUUUAUCAUAAAAAUACAAAAAAAUAUCUUAUCAUCUCUAUCAGAUAUCACUUUUGCAAGUGGCCAUGAAGGGAUUGACAACCCCUUUAUCGCGGUUGGUUGCAUGGUUCUUAUUUGUUUGUGUAGGUACGAGGGACUUGCGUGUGGCCUCCUACUGGAUUGAUACCUUGGUUCUCAAAAACUAAGGGAAAUACUUACGCUACUUUGCUGCAUCACCCUUUCCUCUUCAAGGGAAAACCAACGCAUGCUCAAGAGGUAGCAAGAAGGAUUUCUGGCGCCGUUGCCGGGGAGGCUUACACCAAGUCAAGUCAAGAUUUGAUCUCCCGACAACGAGCCAUUUCUGGCAUCGUUGUCGGGGAGUCUACGCACAAAUCAAGACAUACCAAGUACCCAUCACAAACUCUUAUCCCUCGCAUUACAUUGUUUGCCAUUUGCCUCUCGUUUUCCUCUCCCCCACUUCACCUUUGCCUUUUCUUUGCCUUCUUCCCGUAUGUCUUUUUGCUUGUGUUUCCAUGUGCCUUCUAUUUGCUUGCAUCUUUGCUUGCUAAAAAUCUAUUGAUAUGGAUCCACUUAAAGUGUUCUACUUGGAUCAUCUUCGAUCCUUAUGCGCUCGUGCUGAAACCCCAACUAGCCUAGUUGAUGGGAAAUCUUUAGAUGAGCAUGCUCAUUUCGUGCGUCAUCGUUUGUCUGAAAAGGGGAAGCUCUUAUGGUAUCAAAUAAAUAGUUUGCUUUGCUAUGCUUGGAAUCUUUGUGAAGUUUAUGAUUUUACUUGUUGCUCUAAGAACCCUAAAAAACACCUUCCCUACCUAUGUGAGUAUAAUGAUAAUGAAAUCUUAUCUUCUUAUGGAAAGGGUGUUUAUAGUUACUAUGAUAUCGAACAAAUUGAAGAAUUUGUCCUUUUUAAGGGUGCUCAUGAAGUUGCUUCUUUGAUUGAAAAGUAUGAUAUUACUCUCUACAAAUUUGAAAAUUCUGACAUACUUAAAUAUUGCUAUGAAAACUAUGCUCAUAAUGCCUAUGUUAAGGAAUUUAUUGAGAGAAUGACCAUUGCUUUGGAAGAAAAUAAUGAUAUACACGAAUCUAUAGAUAAUUAUGAUUCCGAUGAUUUGAUUGAAAUAUACCUUGAUGAACAUGAUGCUUGCUAUUCUUAUGGCCAUGAUGCCAAUAUUUAUGGAGAUGAAUUUGCUAUAGUUCCUUAUGUUAAACAUGAGAUUAUUGCUAAUGCACCCAUACUUGAUAGCUCCUUGAAUCAAAAGCAUGAUUGCAAAGAUUUUACUAUAAAUUCUCUUGAUGUCAGUUAUGCUAAUAAUAUGCAAAACCCUAAGCUUGGGGAUGCUAGUUUUGCUAUGUCUACUACUUGUUGCAAUGAUCAUGAUUGGGGUGAUUGUUCUUAUGAUCUUGAAAAUUUAUUUAAGCCCCAUGAUGAAUCUGAGAUUGAUAAUAGUGUUUGCAAUAAUAUUGAAAGUGGUUUGGAAGAGUGUCAACUUUAUAUCCCACAUUUUUGGAGAAUGUUCAAUCUUAUGGUAUCUUUGAUAAAAGUGGGUUUGGAGAGGUCAUGACUUUAGUUAAUGUUGAUUCCACUAUUUUGGAAGAGUGUCAACUUCACAUGCAUGUGGAUCGUGUUGAGAAUAUGUUUUGUGAUAGCUAUAUUGUUGAAUUUGCUUAUGAUCCUACAUGUAAUUAUUAUGAUAGAGGAAAAUAUGUGUGUAGAAAUUUUCAUGUUACUAAAUUACCCGUCAUUAUGUUGAGAUUGCUAUUGUUUCUUUCCGCUUCCUUGCAUAUGCUAGUUUUUGCUUUCCUUGAUAAUUUGUUUGCCGAUAAGAUGCCUAUGCAUAGGAAGUAUGUUAGACUUAGAUGUGUUUUUCAUAUACUAUAUUAUGCUCUCUUUGUGCUUCAAUUCUUGUCUUUCAUGUGAGCAUCAUCAAAAUUAUCAAUGCCUAGCUAGGGGCGUUAAACGAUAGCGCUUGUUGGGAGGCAACCCAAUUUUAUUUUUGUUUCUUGCUUUUUGGUUCUGUUUAGUAAUAAAUAUUUGAUCUAGCCUCUGGUUAGAUGUGGUUUUAUGUUUUAAUUAGUGUUUGUGCCAAGUAGAACCUAUAUGAUCUUCUUGAAUGAUAGUUAUUUGAUCUUGCUGAAAAAGUCAGAAACUUUCUGCUCAUGAAAACAAUUGUUAAAAAUCACCAGAACGUGAUAAAAUACUGAUUCCAAUUGCAGUAGAUCAAUAAACAAAUUAUCUAGGUUUUAAUAUUUUGGUAGAUUUUUUGAGUUACAUAAGUUUGCGUUAGAUACAGAUUACUACAGACUGUUCUAUUUUUGAUAGAUUCUGUUUUUCGUGUGUUGUUUGCUUAUUUUGAUGAAUCUAUGGCUAGUAUCAGAGGUUAUGAACCAUAGAGAAGUUAGAACACAGUAGGUUUAACACCAAUAUAAAUAAAGAAUGAGUUCAUUACAGUACCUUGAAGUGGUUGUUUUGUUUUCUUUCGCUAACGGAGCUCAUGAGAUUUUCUGUUAAGUUUUGUGUUGUGAAGUUUUCCAGUUUUGGGUAAAGAUUUGAUGGAUUAUGGAACAAGGAGUGGCAAGAGCCUAAGCUUGGGGAUGCCCAAGGCACCCCAAGGUAAAAUCCAAGGACAACCAAAAAGCCUAAGCUUGGGGAUGCCCCGGAAGGCAUCCCCUCUUUUGUCUUCGUCCAUCGGUAACUUUACUUGGAGCUAUAUUUUUAUUCACCACAUGAUAUGUGUUUUGCUUGGAGCGUGUUGUAUGAUUUGAGUCUUUGCUUUUUAGUUCACCACAAUAAUCCUUGUUGUACACACCUUUUUGAGAGACACACAUGAAUCGAAAUUUAUUAGAAUACUCUAUGUGCUUCACUUAUAUCUUUUGAGCUAGAUAAUUUUGCUCUAGUGCUUCGCUUAUAUCUUUUUAGAGCACGGUGGUGGUUUAUUUUAUAGAAAUUAUUGAUCUCUCAUGCUUCACUUAUAUUAUUUUGAGAGUCUUUUAGAACAUCAUGGUAAUAUAAGUGAAGCAUGAUGUUCUAAAAGACUCUCAAAAUAAUAUAAGUGAAGCAUGAGAGAUCAAUAAUUUAUAUAAAUUAAACCACCACCGUGCUCUAAAAAGAUAUAAGCGAAGCACUAGAGCAAAAUUAUCUAGCUCAAAAGAUAUAAGUGAAGCACAUAGAGUAUUCUAAUAAAUUUCGAUUCAUGUGUGUCUCUCAAAAAGGUGUGUACAGCAAGGAUUAUUGUGGUGAACUAAAAAGCAAAGACUCAAAUCAUACAACACGCUCCAAGCAAAACACAUAUCAUGUGGUGAAUAAAAAUAUAGCUCCAAGUAAAGUUACCGAUGGACGAAGACAAAAGAGGGGAUGCCUUCCGGGGCAUCCCCAAGCUUAGGCUUUUUGGUUGUCCUUGGAUUUUACCUUGGGGUGCCUUGGGCAUCCCCAAGCUUAGGCUCUUGCCACUCCUUGUUCCAUAAUCCAUCAAAUCUUUACCCAAAACUGGAAAACUUCACAACACAAAACUUAACAGAAAAUCUCAUGAGCUCCGUUAGCGAAAGAAAACAAACCACCACUUUAAGGUACUGUAAUGAACUCAUUAUUUAUUUAUAUUGGUGUUAAACCUACUGUAUUCCAACUUCUCUAUGGUUCAUACCCCCCGAUACUAGCCAUAGAUUCAUCAAAAUAAGCAAACAACACACGAAAGACAGAAUCUGUCAAAACAGAACAGUCUGUAGUAAUGUGUAUCAAACGUAUACUUCUGAAACUCCAAUAAUUCUGAAAUAAAUUGGUGGACGUGAGGAAUUUAUCUAAUAAUCAUCUUAAAAAAUAAUCAACCUAAAAUCACUCUCCAAUAAAAAAUUGCAUCUAUUCUCGUGAACGCAAAAGUUUCUGUUUUUUACAGCAAGAUUGCAAAGACUUCACCCACAUCUUCCCAAAGGUUCUACUUGGCACAAACACUAACUAAAACAUAAAACCACAUCUAACCAGAGGCUAGAUGAAUUAUUGAUAACUAAACAGAACCUAAAAAGCAAAAGCAAAAAUAAAAUUGGGUUGCCUCCCAACAAGCGCUUUUCUUUAAAGCCUUUUUAGCUAGGCAUUGAUAAUUUUAAUGAUGCUCACAUGAAAGACAAGAAUUGAAGCACAAAGAGAGCAUCAUAAAACACGUGAUAAACACAUCUAAGUCUAACAUACUUCCUAUGCAUAGGCAUUUUAUAAGCAAACAAAUUAUCAUAGCAAACAAAAAUUAGCAUAUGCAAGGAAGAAGAAAGAGAUGAUAGCAAUCUCAACAUGACGAGAGGUAAUUUAGUAAGAUAAAAAUUUCUACAACCAUAUUUUCCUCUCUCAUAAUAAUUGCAUGUAGGAUCAUAUGCAAAUUCAACAAAAUAGCUAUCACAUAACAUAUUCUCCACACGAUCUACAUGCAUGCGAAGUUGACACUCUUCCAAAAUAGUGGGAUUAUCAUUAACUAAAGUCAUGACCUCUCCAAACCCACUUUUAUCAAAAAUACCAUAAGAUUGAACAUUCUCCAAAUAUGUGGGAUUUAAAGUUGACACUCUUCCAAACUCACUUUCAAUAUUAUUGCAAACACAAUUAUCAAUCUCAUAUUCAUCAUGGGGCUUAAAUAAAUUUUCAAGAUCAUAAGAAUAAUCACCCCAAUCAUGAUCAUUGCAACAAGUAGUAGACAUAGCAAAACUAGCAUCCCCGAGCUUAGGGUUUUGCAUAUUAUUAACACAAUUGACAUCAGGAGAAUUUAUAGUAAAAUUAUUGCAAUCAUGCUUUUUAUUCAAGGAGCUAUCGUGAAUCUCUUCAUAAAUUUCUUCAUCACAAUUUUCAGAUUCACGAAUUUCAAGCAAAACCUCAUAAAGAUAAUCUAGUGCACUCAAAUCACUAGAAAUUGGUUCAUCAUAAUUGGAUCUCUUAAAAAGAUUAGCAAGGGGAUGAGGAUCCAUAAACUUUUAGCAAGCGAAGAUGCAAGCAAAAAGAAGGCACAUGGUAACACAAGAUCGAACGGAAGGAGGGCGAAGAAAAGGCAAAGGUUUUUGAAAAUCGUUUUAGAAGUGGGGGAGAGGAAAACGAGAGGCGAAUGGCAAAUAAUGUAAUGCGAGGGAGAAGAGUUUGUGAUGGGUACUUGGUAUGUCUUGACUUGAGCGUAUAUCUCCCCGGCAACGACGCCAGAAAUCCUUCUUGGUACCUCUUAAGCAUGCGUUGGUUUUCCCUUGAAGAGGAAAGGGUGAUGCAGCAAAGUAGCGUAAGUAUUUCCCUCAUUUUUUGAUAACCAAGGUAUCAAUCCAGUAGGAGACUACAUGCAAAUCGCCUAGUACCUGCACAAACAAUUAGGAACCUUGCAACCAACGCGAUAAAGGGAUUGUCAAUCCCUUCACGGCCACUUGCAAAAGUGUGAUCUGAUAGAGAUAAUAAGAUAAUAUUUUUGGUAUUUUUGUUGUAUCGAUUGAAAAGUAAUGAUUGCAAAAUAAACGGCGAUAGAAAUAGCUAGUUGAUAGGAAAAUAAUAUGAUGGAAAAUAGACCCGGGGGCCAUAGGUAUCACUAGUGGCUUCUCUCAAGAUAACAUAUUUUACAGUGGGUGAACAAAUUACUGCCGAGCAAUUGAUAGAAAAGCGCAUAGUUAUGAGAAUAUCUAGGCAUGAUCAUGAACAUAGGCAUCACGCCCGUGAAAAGUAGACCGAAAUGAUUCUGCAUCUACUACUAUUACUCCACACAUCGACCGCUAUCCAGCAUGCAUCUAGAGUAUUAAGUUCAUAAGAAGAGAGUAACGCAUUAGGCAAGAUGACAUGAUCUAGAGGGAUAAACUCAAGCAAUAUGAUAUAAACCCCAUCUCUUUAUCCUCGAUGGCAACAAUACAAUACGUGCCUUGCUGCCCCUGCUGUCACUGGGAAAGGACACCGCAAGAUUGAACCCAAAGCUAAGCGCUUCUCCCAUUGCAAGAAAGAUCAAUCUAGUAGACCAAAGUAAACCGAUAAUUCAAAGAGACUUGCAAAGAUAUCAAAUCAUGCAUAUAAGAAUUCAGAGAAGAACCAAAUAUUGUUCAUAGAUAAUCUUGAUCAUAAACCCACAAUUCAUCGGAUCUCGACAAACACAUCGCAAAAAGUAUUACAUCGAAUAGAUCUCCAAGAAGAUCGAGGAGAACUUUGUAUUGAGAUCCAAAGAGAGAGAAGAAGCCAUCUAGCUAAUAACUAUGGACCCGAAGGUCUGCGGUAAACUACUCACACAUCAUCGGAGAGGCUAUGGUGUUGAUGUAGAAGCCCUCCGUGAUCGAAUCCCGCUCCGGCGGAGCGCCGGAAAAGGCCCCAAGAUGGGAUCUCACGGGUACAGAAGGUUGCGGCGGUGGAAAAUAGGUUUCGUGGCUCCCCUGGAUGUUUUCAGGGUAUAAGAAUAUAUAUAGGCGAAAGAAGUAGGUCGGUGGAGCUGCGAGGGGCCCACGAGGGUGGGUGGCGCGCCUCCCUGCCUCGUAGCCUCCUCGCUGCUUUCUUGACUUCCACUCCAAGUCUCCUGGAUUGCGUUUGUUCCAAAAAUGAUCCUCGCGAAGGUUUCAUUCCGCUUGAAUUCUGUUUGAUAUUCCUUUUCUGUGAAACACUGAAAUAGGCAAAAAAACAGCAAUUUGCACUGGGCCUUUGUUUAAUAGGUUAGUCCCAAAAAUAAUAUAAAAGUGCAUAAUAAAGUCCAUUAAACAUCCAAAACAGAUAAUAUAAUAGCAUGGAACAAUAAAAAAUUAUAGAUACGUUGGAGACGUAUCAAGCAUCCCCAAGCUUAAUUCCUGCUCGUCCUCGAGUAGGUAAAUGAUAAAAAUAGAUUCUUUGAUGUGGAAUGCUACCUAACAUAAUUUUCAAUGUAAUUCUCUUUAUUGUGGCAUGAAUGUUUAGAUCCAAAAGAUUCUAGACAAAGUUUUAUUAUUGACAUAAAAAUAGUAAUACUUCAAGCAUGCUGACCAAGCAAUUAUGUCGAUAACCAUGGUUUCUUCAGUGAGGGAAAUACCUACCGUCGCUGUGCUACAUCAUCCCUUCCUCUUUGGGGAAAUACCGACGUAGUCCUAGUAGACAGGAGCUUGUCUGGCGCUAUAGUCAGAGAGCAAUCAACGGUCAUCUUGCCUGAAAUCUCGCUAGGAAGAAGAUCGAGACCAUGAAGAAGGCGAACGGGCAUAGUCAAACGAAUCCUCACAAUCGCAAUGAAGCCGGGACUAUCGAAAGGAAGCAUAAUCGGAAAUAAGCAAACAACAUGGUAAACAACCAUCACAUAAAUAUGGCAUGAUGCACAAUAAAGUAUGAUGCAUGUCCAGUUUAAUGAUUCAUGGCAUGGCAUGGCAAAGUGCAACAAACGAUACUACAAAUUAAGUGGAGCUCAAUAUGCAAUGAGUUGCAUAUUGACAGAACACCACAUUCAAAUAUUUAGUUCACUCUUGUUUAUGUACCCAACAAUAUUAAAUGUUGCUAAACAUGGCAAGAGGAGCAUACAUGAACUAUCUAUCUAGGCAAGUUUAAAUGAGGCCGGAACAACAAACAACAAAUCCGGAAAAUCCUCAUAAGCACAUUUAAAAUUUGGUACUGUUCUUCCCUAAACCACAAUUUCAAUGUUAUUAAACAGAAAAUAAAGUGCAACAUGUUAAUCUAUGCAUUUUUCUACCCCAUUUACAUGUAAAGUUUAUUUAAUUCGGAGCUACGAUUCUUUAGUUAUGAAGUAAACCAUUUUAACAUGUCAUUAUGCAAAUUAGAUGCAAACAUCUAUUUAAACAUUUCAAACAUUGAUGAAAGUUGCAUAUUAUGAAAGUACAUGAAAUUCUAGGCAUUUUACAUAUAUACCAUGUUUCAUUUGGAUGUAUGGAUAUUUAGCUAUUAACAAUUCAAAAUGAUGGCAGUUAUGUAAAUAUGAUUGCACUGGAAAAUGAUGAAACCAUAGAGCAGGAAAAAAAUGCUUGGGCCGGAAGCAGCACGGUGCCGUGGCCCAGAUGAGGAUUCGGCGCAAGUGGCUGUGUGCAAAAGUAAUGGAAAACAGGGCAAAAACUGGAGCAUCGGUCUCGGGGCGUUACAACUCUCCUCCACUAACAGAAGAUCUCGUCCCGAGAUCUUAGGAACGAGACGGAUGAAAAGAGGAUGAGGUGAAAGAAGAGCUGAAGAGAGAGGAUGAACAAGGUCGAGAACACUCGAGUAGAAAAGAGGAAUGACGAAUAUGACGAGAAUCAAAAGCUCAAGGAAUAAGAUAGACUCUGAAACCACUCUGGUUAGAACAAGGUAGAAAAGGAAUAAGAACGAAAGAAUUCGGAUAGCGUUCGGGUAGAAAAGGAAAGCAGAGAUUGGCAAGAAAAAGGACUUCAAAAGAGGACAUGACACUUCGGUAAAAUGGAUAAACAAGGAUUAAACAAGAUGAUGGACGAAAAGAGCAACAUCACGGUGCCUCCGGAACGGAAGAAUAGAAGGUGAAUCAUUGGAAGGAAAAGAAAGGGGAAAAACA
Molecule: long non-coding RNA, 18192 nt
Filed under: Triticum aestivum (bread wheat)
Lineage: Eukaryota; Viridiplantae; Streptophyta; Magnoliopsida; Poales; Poaceae
Description: long non-coding RNA (TAES_LNC024314)
Source: RNAcentral